RNAcentral lists this ribosomal RNA (253 nucleotides) under uncultured bacterium. Its description in RNAcentral is "partial 16S ribosomal RNA". It matches the Rfam family "Bacterial small subunit ribosomal RNA", at positions 524 to 776 of the family's 1533-position model. The record is from RNAcentral.
UACGACGGUCCCGAGCGUUGUUCGGAAUCACUGGGCGUAAAGGGAGCGUAGGCGGCGCGGUAAGUCAGAUGUGAAAUCCCGGGGCUCAACCCCGGAACUGCAUCCGGUACUGCCGUGCUAGAGUGAUGGAGAGGUAGCUGGAAUUCACGGUGUAGCAGUGAAAUGCGUAGAUAUCGUGAGGAACACUCGUGGCGAAAGCGAGCUACUGGACAUUUACGGACGCUGAGGCUCGAAGGCGAGGGUAGCGAACGGG